AGUGAACGCUGGCGGCAUGCCUUACACAUGCAAGUCGAACGGCAGCACGGGAGCAAUCCUGGUGGCGAGUGGCGAACGGGUGAGUAAUAUAUCGGAACGUGCCCAGUCGUGGGGAUAACGUAGCGAAAGCUACGCUAAUACCGCAUACGAUCUAUGGAUGAAAGCGGGGGAUCGCAAGACCUCGCGCGAUUGGAGCGGCCGAUAUCAGAUUAGGUAGUUGGUGAGGUAAAGGCUCACCAAGCCGACGAUCUGUAGCUGGUCUGAGAGGACGACAGCCACACUGGGACUGAGACACGGCCCAGACUCCUACGGGAGGCAGCAGUGGGAAUUUUGGAC
This 336-nucleotide ribosomal RNA is filed under the name uncultured bacterium. RNAcentral describes it as "bacterial SSU rRNA". It matches the Rfam family "Bacterial small subunit ribosomal RNA", at positions 29 to 369 of the family's 1533-position model. The record is from RNAcentral.